RNAcentral lists this ribosomal RNA (293 nucleotides) under uncultured Planctomycetota bacterium. RNAcentral's name for it is "uncultured planctomycete partial 16S ribosomal RNA". Lineage: Bacteria; Pseudomonadati; Planctomycetota. The record is from RNAcentral.
GGACUACAGGGGUAUCUAAUCCCGUUCGCUCCCCUGGCUUUCGCGUCUCAGCGUCAGUAAACGUCCAGGAGCUCGCUUUCGCCACGGGCGUUCCUUCCGAUCUCAACGCAUUUCACCGCUCCACCGGAAGUUCCAGCUCCCCCUACGUUCCUCGAGGCGGACCGUUUCGGCGCCCCUUCCCCGGUUGAGCCGGGGGAUUUCAGCGGCCGACGUUCCCACCCGCCUACACGCGCUUUAAGCCCAGUGAUUCCGAAUAACGUUCGCACGGUUCGUCUUACCGCGGCUGCUGGCAC